RNAcentral lists this long non-coding RNA (303 nucleotides) under Homo sapiens (human). RNAcentral's name for it is "HSALNT0380528". The record is from RNAcentral. Lineage: Eukaryota; Metazoa; Chordata; Mammalia; Primates; Hominidae.
AUCAGGUCCCUCCUCUGACACGUGGGGAUUACAAUUGGAGAUGAGAUUUGGACAGGGACACAGAGCCAAACCAAAUCAGAUGCUCAGGAGCUUCCAGGUUCAACAGAUGCGUGAGAUCCAUAGCAGAAACAUUGCUGUCCUCUUCAGAUUCAAGUACGGGUGAAAGUCAAGCUCUGGGAUACUGGAGCAGGGCUAUAUAAUUCUCUUUCCCUUGUAAUUUCAUUAAAAAAGAUUAAGGAAACCCUUGAAAAGUUGUAGAUACCUAAAAUUUUGGCCGUGCAUUGAUCAUCCACAAAAAGUGAA